This 484-nucleotide ribosomal RNA is filed under the name uncultured bacterium. RNAcentral describes it as "partial 16S ribosomal RNA". It matches the Rfam family "Bacterial small subunit ribosomal RNA", at positions 30 to 507 of the family's 1533-position model. The record is from RNAcentral.
AUUGAACGCUGGCGGCAGGCCUAACACAUGCAAGUCGAGCGGCAGCACAGUGAUUGCUCGUGGUUACAGCGGCGGACUGGCGGGUGGUGCCUAGGUAUAUCCGUGUCUGCGGGUGCUAAGGUCAGGACACGGGCACUCAUACCGCAUUAGUCCAUAGGGCGAACGUGGGGAAUCUUCGGACCUUCCGCUCUCACAUGAGCCUAGGGCGGAUUAGCUAGUUGGUGGGGUAAAGGGCUACCAAGGCGACGAUGCGUAACUGGUCUGAGAGGAUGAUCAGUCACACUGGAACUGAGACACGGUCCAGACGCCUACGGGAGGCAGCAGUGGGGAAUAUUGGACAAUGGGCGAAAGCCUGAUCCAGCCAUGCCGCGUGUGUGAAGAAGGUCUUCGGAUUGUAAAGCACUUUAAGUUGGGAGGAAGGGCAGUAAGUUAAUACCUUGCUGUUUUGACGUUACCAACAGAAUAAGCACCGGCUAACUUCGUG